AUUGAACGCUGGCGGCAUGCUUUACACAUGCAAGUCGAACGGUAACAGGCCGCAAGGUGCUGACGAGUGGCGAACGGGUGCGUAAUGCAUCGGAACGUGCCCAGUCGUGGGGGAUAACUACUCGAAAGAGUAGCUAAUACCGCAUACGAUCUAUGGAUGAAAGCGGGGGACCGUAAGGCCUCGCGCGAUUGGAGCGGCCGCUGUCAGAUUAGGUAGUUGGUGGGGUAAAGGCUCACCAAGCCAACGAUCUGUAGCUGGUCUGAGAGGACGACCAGCCACACUGGGACUGAGACACGGCCCAGACUCCUACGGGAGGCAGCAGUGGGGAAUUUUGGACAAUGGGCGCAAGCCUGAUCCAGCAAUGCCGCGUGCAGGAAGAAGGCCUUCGGGUUGUAAACUGCUUUUGUACGGAACGAAACGGCUCUGGUUAAUACCCGGGGCUAAUGACGGUACCGUAAGAAUAAGCACCGGCUAACUACGUG
Molecule: ribosomal RNA, 482 nt
Filed under: uncultured bacterium
Lineage: Bacteria
Description: partial 16S ribosomal RNA
Rfam family: Bacterial small subunit ribosomal RNA
Source: RNAcentral